AUGAACGCUGGCGGCGUGCCUAAUCCCUGCAAGUCGAGCGAACAGACGAGGAGCUUGCUCCUCUGACGUUAGCGGCGGACGGGUGAGUAACACGUGGAUAACCUACCUAUAAGACUGGGAUAACUUCGGGAAACCGGAGCUAAUACCGGAUAAUAUAUUGAACCGCAUGGUUCAAUAGUGAAAGACGGUUUUGCUGUCACUUAUAGAUGGAUCCGCGCCGCAUUAGCUAGUUGGUAAGGUAACGGCUUACCAAGGCAACGAUGCGUAGCCGACCUGAGAGGGUGAUCGGCCACACUGGAACUGAGACACGGUCCAGACUCCUACGGGAGGCAGCAGUAGGGAAUCUUCCGCAAUGGGCGAAAGCCUGACGGAGCAACGCCGCGUGAGUGAUGAAGGUCUUCGGAUCGUAAAACUCUGUUAUUAGGGAAGAACAAAUGUGUAAGUAACUAUGCACGUCUUGACGGUACCUAAUCAGAAAGCCACGGCUAACUACGUG
Molecule: ribosomal RNA, 496 nt
Filed under: uncultured bacterium
Lineage: Bacteria
Description: partial 16S ribosomal RNA
Rfam family: Bacterial small subunit ribosomal RNA
Source: RNAcentral